This is a non-coding RNA of Malus domestica (apple), 1926 nucleotides long. The record is from RefSeq and is a predicted model, not a curated record. NCBI's taxonomy places the organism in Eukaryota, Viridiplantae, Streptophyta, Magnoliopsida, Rosales, Rosaceae.
UGUUUCAAACAUUUUCGCUACUUGAACACAAACGGAGCCAAAGUCUCUCUAGAUCAGUUGUGAGCCAGGCCUACUGCAUUAGACCACAUUGAAAAGAAAAAAAAGAAAAAAAAAAUCCGGAAGAAAACCUCUUUUGACAUAACCUCGAGACACCAUCAAACUGUAGACCCAGACAAUUGUUUGCCAAAAAUUUCAACAGAAAAGACUGAUUCCCAGAUUGAUUUCAUGUUUCCAACAAUGGCCAAUUUGCAGGGUUAGGAACUUAGGUGCCUAACCCUUGCGAAAGUUGGAGCUCUGUGAUUUUCGGCUUCUGCUCGUGUUGGGAUUCGUUCAACAACUUCCGACUUUCAACCAGUGCAAACUAGAAGAAGUAAGUGAAAACCCAACUUGCACUAGUUUUUUUGUUUUACUUUCGGAAAAAAUACAAACCCUUGUCAAUGAUUCUGCAUAUACACAGAUUUUGAUUUGUAGUAUCAAAUUCAAUCAGGAUCCUUUUGUUAGUUUCAGUUUUCUUCUUAACCAAACUGAUUGCGCAAGUUUAUGAAAAUCGAGGAGAUUUUCACGGAUAGUUUGAUUCGUUAUGUGACAUACCUUUUUGUGGUUAAAGAUAUCUGAUGUAUACGCUUAGGCUUUAUUCACGUUUAAAAUCAUCUAAUAAGUUACAUUAUCAAACUUCCAUCGUGAUUUCAGCUGAUGAUUGAUAGUUUGGUCCAUAAUUUUUGUCUAAACAAAGAGAGAAAAUAAAUAAAAGAGCUAUUCAACUUACAAUCCGAUUAGGGAAUGAACAUCCUACUCUUAAAUAGGUAUUUUGCACUAGAGAAUUUACUAGCUCACUCUUAAAUAGGUAUUUUGCACUAGAGAAUUUACUAGCUCAAUCCGUACACACCAAUAUUUCUUCAUCGUCUGGGCAGCAAGCUUUAACUGGAACAUUGACGAGAGAGGUGGUUUGGAAGUUGUCAGGGACCAUGAAAGAGUUACUGUUGUUUGCAUAUGCUGACCGAUUUGUACUCUCGGUUUCACUAUCCGGUUUGCUGCUUUUAACUUCGUCCUUUUGAUUUGGAACUUGGACUUGGCUUUGGGCUUUCCUGUUAAGAACAAGAACAAGAACUAGGAAUUGUAAACAAAUCGAAAAAAGAAAAAUGAACAGAGUCUAGAUUCUAGAACUCUACCUUCUUCUAAGCCUUCUCCACUUCAGAUAGAGCGUUAAUUGAAUAUUGUCAAGGAGUUGGAAAUAGGCAUAUCUCCACGUCCUCUUGAGAAGCAAAGGGCAAAUGAAUCCCAAAUACCCUACAAAGAAACCAAGCACAACGGAUAACUCAAACCAUAGACUUUGAUCCUCAUCAUUGUCCAAAUCCUGGUUGUUCUCAUUAUCAUCUGCAUCAUUGCCAUUACUUGGGAAGCACUGGUUUGAAAGUGGGGCACCGCAAAGUUUCGGAUUCCCUUCGAAUGCAGAGACACUGAAGCCUUGGAGCUGAGUGCCGGCUGGUAUUGGUCCUUCAAGAUUAUUGUAUGCAACAGUAAAUGUAGACAAGAAAUGGAGAUUUGAUAGUGAUGAUGGGAUUUCGCCUGACAGACGGUUACUGUUGAGUUCUAAUCUCUCCAACUUUGUGAGGCUGGCUAUUUGGUCUGGAAUGUUGCCGGAGAAGUUGUUGAUGCUUAGAUCCAGUUGUUGAAGAAAUUGCAAUUGGCCAAUCUCAAAGGGUAUGCUGCCGCUUAAACUGUUGUUCCUGAGGGAGAUUACUCUUGGCAUGUUGGGCAGAUAUUUGUACUGUGAAGCCAGCACAGUUGCAUUAUUACCGCGUUGAAAGUAGACGGGCAGCUCAAGAGAACAAUGGCCUGUUUCAUUCACAGCCUUUUGCGAUACUAAUGCUUGUAGUCUGCAAAGCUCCUUUGGAAAUUCACCCGAAAUCAAGUUGUCAUUCAACA